RNAcentral lists this unclassified non-coding RNA (262 nucleotides) under plant metagenome. RNAcentral describes it as "partial contains small subunit ribosomal RNA, internal transcribed spacer 1, and 5.8S ribosomal RNA". The record is from RNAcentral.
UCUCCGUUGGUGAACCAGCGGAGGGAUCAUUACCGAGUUUACAACUCCCAAACCCAAUGUGAUCGUUACCAAACUGUUGCCUCGGCGGGAUCUCUGCCCCGGGUGCGUCGCAGCCCCGGACCAAGGCGCCCGCCGGAGGACCAACCAAAACUCUUUAUGUAUACCCCCUCGCGGGUUUUUUUACAAUCUGAGCCAUCUCGGCGCCCCUCGUGGGCGUUUCGAAAAUGAAUCAAAACUUUCAACAACGGAUCUCUUGGUUCUG